This 633-nucleotide long non-coding RNA is filed under the name Anas platyrhynchos platyrhynchos (common mallard). RNAcentral's name for it is "lncRNA (ENSAPLG00000027041.1)". The record is from RNAcentral. Lineage: Eukaryota; Metazoa; Chordata; Aves; Anseriformes; Anatidae.
AUGCUGGGGUCUCCAUACAUCCAGACAGCCCUGGUAGACCUUCUCUGCUCCCCUUCUGCACACCAACAAAACCAAGCCUUGAGCAGAAAGGAAUGGCUGUCUUGUGUCUCCUUGUUGGAGGCCAGUGAUGAUGGGAAGAGCUGGCAGCCUGUGCAGGCUGACAUGAGAAAUAGUUUGCUGAGCCCUGCCGUUGAGAUAAGGACAAAGGGCCAGGACCAGCUCUGGGGGAAGCGUGAGUUGCUUGCACAAGGGCCCGCAGCGCAGCGAGAGAUGGAACAGCAGAGGGAUCAAGGCAGAAUACGGUGCUUUGUUGUGUGUGUUUGGCUAGCCAUGGUUAUGCCUGGUCAAAGGAAGGUGGAGACACAACUCGUCCCUCAUGAAAUGUUUUCAGAGUAUGCAGAAGCUCCCUCAUGCUGUGCCACUCUCAACUUCAUGCUAAAUAUUAGAAGCAAGAUGGUUCAGACAGUACAGUGGGACAGAAUUGUAAUGGAGGGUGAUCUUCAUGUCUCCAGAAUCAGCACCAAUAAACCAGUGAUUCUCAUUAGAUGUUGUGUUAGUUUCUACUUUUAUUGCUGUGGCAAUGUAGCAAUGUUUCUCUAUAAAUUUGAAGAAACAUAACUGUGUUCAAAACUC